ACGAAGGGGGCUAGCGUUGCUCGGAAUCACUGGGCGUAAAGCGCACGUAGGCGGGUCGUUAAGUCAGAGGUGAAAGCCUGGAGCUCAACUCCAGAACUGCCUUUGAUACUGGCGACCUCGAGUUCGAGAGAGGUUGGUGGAACUCCGAGUGUAGAGGUGAAAUUCGUAGAUAUUCGGAAGAACACCAGUGGCGAAGGCGGCCAACUGGCUCGAUACUGACGCUGAGGUGCGAAAGCGUGGGGAGCAAACAG
This 251-nucleotide ribosomal RNA is filed under the name uncultured prokaryote. RNAcentral's name for it is "partial 16S rRNA". It matches the Rfam family "Bacterial small subunit ribosomal RNA", at positions 525 to 775 of the family's 1533-position model. The record is from RNAcentral.